RNAcentral lists this non-coding RNA (29 nucleotides) under Homo sapiens (human). Lineage: Eukaryota; Metazoa; Chordata; Mammalia; Primates; Hominidae. The record is from RNAcentral.
UGUGAUAUUCUUUAAGUGGCAGUACUGCA